CUCCGGUUUUUGAUUCCAAACCCUAACCGUGUCAUUUCAUUCCACAAACUUCUUUCCAGAGAAAGAAACUGCAGAUUCCUUUUCCAAGUGAAGAUGCAUAAACCAUUGACGAACAACAUGCUUGUUCUUUACAAUAUGGAAUCCGGACAACAUGCUCACGAAAUCCCCACUUAGUCCGACCACAUUAAGCUCCAAUCCAUCAAGCUUGAAGCCUCCUAUGAACUGAUGUAGUUCAGUAAAAGUAUGCAUGCAUUAUUUGGUUCUUGUUAACGAGGAUGAUGGGAUAUUUCAAGAUGGUUUGGAAAAUGUUGAGAAUGAAGAGGAUAUUGUGAGAUUUUAAGACAAAAUAAAUGAAGAACUACAACCUUCAAUCAGGAGCCUUGAAGUUGAAAAACACAUAGUUGCUUGAAAUGUGAAAAGAAAAUGAAGACUACCAGCAAAGGAAAAAAUUUGAGCUAGAAGCUACGCGGAAAGAUUUUCACAGCCAACAUGCAAACUCUGAAGCUACGAUACCACGUAUUGUGAAAAAACUACUAUUAGAGUACUUUGGAAUCU
Molecule: long non-coding RNA, 555 nt
Filed under: Helianthus annuus (common sunflower)
Lineage: Eukaryota; Viridiplantae; Streptophyta; Magnoliopsida; Asterales; Asteraceae
Description: sRNA HanXRQr2_Chr03g0116281
Source: RNAcentral